AUGUCCACACCCAGACUGGGAGAGGUGGCACCAGAUGCCGGGAGGAAUGGGGCAGCGGGGCUGGGGGCUGUGCCAGGUGCCCCGUGGCUUUCCACCUGCCCCCGCCCUGGGCCGGGCCUUCGCUUCGCCCGUGUUCCCCAGCCCUUCCUCCCAUCCCUGAGCUCGGCAGUGCAGCCUGGGGCUCAGACUCACCAUGAGGCAGGCCAUCCAGCUGUGGGCUCCAGCGGGGUGUGGGCUCAGGAAACCAGGACAGGGCUCCUCCAGCCCGAGCCUGGCCAGUCCUGGAGGCUCUGGAGCAGAAGGGGCCCGUGGGGCAGGCCGGGGGUGGGGACCCUGAGAAAGGUCCCUGAAACCACCAGGAAGGUUGCUGAAGCAUCACAGUCAGAGCCUGUGCCGACCCCUGACCCUGACCUUGGAAGCGGGCAUCCUACCGCCCCCGCCCCCUCCUGGCCCGCCCAGCGUCUUCCCCUGUGUGGGGAAGACACCCUCGAUCCUCGGGGCCAGGCUGGGGGAGGGGGGUGGGCAGAGUGGCACCUCCAGCCCCACGGCGUCCUCGGAGAGUUUCUGCGCUCGAGCACCGCAUGUGCCCAGGGAAGACAGCAAUGUCCACCAGGACGGGAAGUCACCGUGCUCCGGGGAGAGCAGGGCCGGGACAGGCUCGGGGGGUCCAGGCUCAGCACUCGGGCUGCACACGGCCAGGCUGGGCAGGAGGGGGCCUCAGGGGGCAUGUCCACCACGCGGGACGGACAGACAGGGGCACGCCCCAUGGGGUCCCUCCGUCCACAGGGCCCGGCCCAGAUGAGGGCGACGGUGGCAUGGAUGGCUGGGCACCAUGUCCACACCCAGACUGGGAGAGGUGGCACCAGAUGCCGGGAGGAAUGGGGCAGCGGGGCUGGGGGCUGUGCCAGGUGCCCCGUGGCUUUCCACCUGCCCCCGCCCUGGGCCGGGCCCGCUCGCCCCCCGCCCCGUGUUCCCCCAGCCCUUCCUCCCAUCCCUGAGCUCGGCAGUGCAGCCUGGGGGCUCAGUCACUCCCCCAACCAUCUCCUGCCAUCCUUCUCCAAGGCAUUGAGCUGA
RNAcentral lists this long non-coding RNA (1074 nucleotides) under Bos grunniens (domestic yak). Its description in RNAcentral is "lncRNA (ENSBGRG00000020886.1)". Lineage: Eukaryota; Metazoa; Chordata; Mammalia; Artiodactyla; Bovidae. The record is from RNAcentral.